Non-coding RNA from Acanthosepion pharaonis, 113 nucleotides. NCBI's taxonomy places the organism in Eukaryota, Metazoa, Mollusca, Cephalopoda, Sepiida, Sepiidae. The record is from the annotation of a GenBank genome assembly.
UUACGGGCAUAUCUCGUUGAAACACAGGUCCUCAUACGAUCACCGCAGUUAAGCAACGACAAGCCUGGUCAGUACCUACAUGGGUAACCGCUUGGGAAUACCAAGUGUUGUGA